GAGUAUGCCAGAAAGAGGAUCAAAUGUAUACUGCUGGAGCACCAACUUGGUUCUCUAUAUCUGAGGUGUGUCGCAGCUGCAGCUCAAAGACCAAUCAGGAGGAGCGUAAAAGAGGCACAGACACCACAAGACAGAUAUCAGAUUGUUUGCUCACCUAACAUGUUCAUGAUUUUUUCAAGUUCCCACGCUCCAGUGCUCUGCCUCCUCAAUCCUUUGACUAUUUGAAUAAUCCUUCCAAGAUCAUUACCACAAUGUAUCCACUUUCCUCUGGAUGCACGAU
Fundulus heteroclitus (mummichog) is the source of this 280-nucleotide long non-coding RNA. RefSeq lists it as uncharacterized. The transcript is spliced from 3 exons. Lineage: Eukaryota; Metazoa; Chordata; Actinopteri; Cyprinodontiformes; Fundulidae. The record is from RefSeq and is a predicted model, not a curated record.